Molecule: ribosomal RNA, 252 nt
Filed under: uncultured bacterium
Lineage: Bacteria
Description: partial 16S ribosomal RNA
Rfam family: Bacterial small subunit ribosomal RNA
Source: RNAcentral
UACGUAGGGGGCAAGCGUUGUCCGGAAUUAUUGGGCGUAAAGCGCGCGCAGGCGGUGGACUUAGUCGGGUGGUUAAGCUCGGGGCUCAACCCCGAGUCACACCGGAAACGGGUGCACUUGAGUGCCGAAGAGGAGAGUGGAAUUCCACGUGUAGCGGUGAAAUGCGUAGAGAUGUGGAGGAACACCAGUGGCGAAGGCGACUCUCUGGACGGUAACUGACGCUGAGGCGCGAAAGCGUGGGGAGCAAACAGG